This 2194-nucleotide ribosomal RNA is filed under the name human gut metagenome. Its description in RNAcentral is "bacterial LSU rRNA". It matches the Rfam family "Bacterial large subunit ribosomal RNA", at positions 1 to 2024 of the family's 2925-position model. The record is from RNAcentral.
GUUUUUUGUUUUGAGCGUUUGGUGGAUGCCUUGGCAUCGUGUGCCGAUGAAGGACGUUGUGGCUGGCGAUAGCCUCGGGGAGUUAGCGAGCGUGCGUUGAUCCGGGGGUUUCCGAAUGGGGUAACCUGACCAUAGUUGUGUGUGGUUGGCGCGCAUCGAAGUUUUGAUAGGUGUGUGUUGGUAGGGUGGGAAGUGAAACAUCUUAGUACCGCCUUUUGUGAGAUAGUCCGUGUGUAGUGGUGAGCGAUAGCGGGUGUUGGCUAAACCGUUUGCGUGUGAUACUCGGCAGGGGUUGCGUAGGCGGGGUUGUGGGAUAAAGUCGUUGAGAAUCUGCCGGUUCUUGGAGCGCCCUUGUGUGUGCGAGGUGAACAGGUUGGGAUGCCUGGCCGUAGACCGUGAGAGUCGGGUAGCUGGUUGCGUAUGCGUGGCGUUGGGUUUUGUUCCCGAGUAGCGCGGGGCUCGUGGAAUCUCGUGUGAAUCUGCCCAGACCAUUGGGUAAGCCUGGACGGGCAUGGUGACCGAUAGUGGAUUAGUACCGUGAGGGAAUGGUGAAAAGUACCCCGGGAGGGGAGUGAAAUAGUUCCUGAAACCAAGCGUUUUUAAGCCGUCAGAGCCAUGGAGCCUUCGGGCCCGCGUGGUGGUGGCGUGCCUAUUGAAGAAUGAGCCUGCGAGUUAUGUUGCGUUGCGAGGUUAACCUGUUGUGGGGUAGUCGUAGGGAAACCGAGUCCUGGGGGCGUAAUAGUAGCGUGGCAUAGACCCGAAGCGGGGUGAUCUACCCAUGGCCAGGUUGAAGCGGCGGUAGAACGUCGUGGAGGACCGCACCCACCUAGGUUGAAAACUGGGGGGAUGAGUUGUGGGUAGGGGUGAAAGGCCAAUCAAACUCCGUGAUAGCUGGUUCUCCCCGAAAUAUAUUUAGGUAUAGCGUUCCAUUUUUUGCUUGCGUGUGGUAGAGCUACUGGUUGGUUGAUGGGCCUUGUUGGUUACUGAGAUCUGCUAAACUCCGAAUGCGCGUUAAGUUGGUGGGGCAGUCAGACAGCGGGGGAUAAGCUUCGUUGUCGAGAGGGAAACAGCCCUGAUCAUCGGUUAAGGUCCCUAAGUGUGUGCUGAGUGGAAAAGGAUGUGUAGUUGCGUUGACAGCCAGGAGGUUGGCUUAGAAGCAGCCACCCUUGAAAGAGUGCGUAAUAGCUUACUGGUCGAGUGAUUGUGCGCCGAUAAUGUAGUGGGGCUUAAGCAUGCCACCGAAACUGUGACUACAAUGCUUUUGGUGUUGUGGGGUAGGGGAGCGUCCUGCAUUGUUGUAGCGGCCUGGUGAUGGGUCGUGUGUGGUGUGGGAGUGAGAAUGCAGGCAUGAGUAGCGAGUCCAGCGUGAGAAUCGCUGGCGCCGAUAAACUAAGGGUUCCAGGGGAAGGUUUAUCCGCCCUGGGUUAGUCGGGUCCUAAGGCGAGGCCGUCAGGCGUAGUCGAUGGUUGAGCAGUUGAUAUUCUGCUACCGGGAUCAGACCGUGUAUAGCGCUUUUUCUUUUGAGCUUGACGCCCUUUUCGGUUCUUGUCUUCCUUCGGGUUGGCAGGAACUGUUGGGUUUUGGGUUUUUGGUUUGAGUGUUUUAGCUUCGUGGUGACACAGUGAGAUUGCCUGGCGCGGUGGUGGUUUACCGUGUUCAAGCCUGUAGCCUGUCUUCUAGGCAAAUCCGGAAGACGCGUAUGGUGAGGGGUGAUGGUGGGGCCCGUUUUUGGGUUGAUAACAGGGUUGGUCUGUACUGUCGAGAAAAGCUGCGUUGUGAGGUGUGUUUCCGCCCGUACCCUAAACCGACUCUGGUAGUUGGGUAGAGAAUACUAAGGCGAGCGAGUGAAUCGUGGUUAAGGAAUUCGGCAAAUUGCCUCCGUAACUUCGGGAGAAGGAGGCCCCACCCCUUGAAGAGCGUUUUCUGUUCUAGGGGGUGUGGGGUGCAAUAGCAAGAUGGAAGCGACUGUUUAUCAAAAACAUAGGUGCGUGCGAAGCUGUAAGGCGAGGUAUACGCACUGACGCCUGCCCGGUGCCGGAAGGUUAAGAGGAGCUGUCAGCCCUUUUGGGCGAAGCGGUGAAUUUAAGCCCCGGUAAACGGCGGUGGUAACUAUAACCAUCCUAAGGUAGCGAAAUUCCUUGUCGGGUAAGUUCCGACCUGCACGAAUGGCGUAACGACUUCUGUGCUGUCUUGA